Long non-coding RNA from Herpailurus yagouaroundi (jaguarundi), 1156 nucleotides. RefSeq lists it as uncharacterized. The transcript is spliced from 4 exons. Lineage: Eukaryota; Metazoa; Chordata; Mammalia; Carnivora; Felidae. The record is from RefSeq and is a predicted model, not a curated record.
GUCUUGGGAGAGGGCAGUGGUUGUGGGCUCUCGAAGGGUGAAAAUAACCGCCAUGUGAAUCGCACACAUUAUACCUGCCCUGAGAAAUACAGUCAGGGUAAACAGUUUCCUAAUUUUAAAAUGCGCUUAUUCCCUGAAUCGCUCUUCAACCACCCAUCCAUCCGUCUGUCCAUCCAUCUGGACCCCAUCCACUCAACCAUAGCUACUGGGCACCUCCUGGGUGCCAGGAGCUGAGCUGGGUGCUGGUGAUAAAUAACGAGGAACCUUGUGCUUGUGUUCACGGAGCUCGGAGGCUAGUGAAGAAGUCUGACAGUAACAAAUGCUUAUACCAAUCAUGCUUUUAUUACAAUCGUGAUCCAUUCUAGGAACAUAAGUGUUCUCAGCAGCUGGCACAGUGCCUGAUACAGACUGAGUGCCCAGGAAAUGCCCGCAGAAUGAAAGCAAGGAGUUAUCCUGCACAGACCCAUGGGAUCUUGUGGAGGAAACUGAGUCGCACGACGUGACGGAACUCGUGUUAGGUCUGUAGGACUCCAGAGGGAAUUCCUAGCUACUAUGCUCCACUGCCUUAUGUGAAAACCCCAGCUUCAUCUAUGCCGGAAAAUGCUGAGUAAAAGGCAGAAGUCCGCUGUCUACCGGUCUGUGGACGGCCCCAGCCAAGGCGGGACUCUGCAGAGGUCCUAUGGUAAGUAUCAGGGGACCCAGCCCAGCUUUCGCUCUGGGACACAAACCACGGAGAGUGUGUGUGGAGCAGCUGGUGCCUCUACUACCUGUGUGCCUUUUCCACGAGCAGUGCUUCUCGGGGCCUGGGGCAAGCCAGCUGGGGCAGACAAUUGCCAUCUGCCCAGAUGGCGUUAGAUCUGGGGGCAGGAGCAGACAGGAGGGGACCUCUUCCCCGCCCACCCACACACAUUGCUAAUUGAAGACGAGUUUCUGGGUUAUAAGUGGGGCGAGCUGGGGGAGGCCUGAGGACAGCCUACGUGGCCCUUUUGUGACAAGAUGUCGUGGUUCGCACCUGACGGCUUCCCAGGGAUGUGGACCUCCCAGGGAGGCCAGUCUGGCAUGGCAGCUGGUGUGCCCACUCAUAAACCAGAACCAGGGCUGGGACCCUUCUGUCCUCACUGCCACUUCAUUUCGAGGGCCUACUUUGGCCUCCCCC